Molecule: ribosomal RNA, 399 nt
Filed under: uncultured bacterium
Lineage: Bacteria
Description: partial 16S ribosomal RNA
Rfam family: Bacterial small subunit ribosomal RNA
Source: RNAcentral
AUACGUAGGGUCCAAGCAUUAUCCGGAUUGACUGGGUGUAAAGAGUUGCGUAGGUGGUGUCUUAAGUAGAUAGUGAAAUCUGGUGGCUCAACCAUUCAGACUAUUAUCUAAACUGAGGCGCUCGAGAGCGUUAGGGGUAGCUGGAAUUUCUAGUGUAGGAGUGAAAUCCGUAGAUAUUAGAAAGAACACCGAUAGCGUAGGCAGGCUACUGGGACGUUUCUGACACUAAGGCACGAAAGCGUAGGGAGCAAACGGGAUUAGAUACCCCGGUAGUCUACGCUGUAAACGAUGGAUACUAGCAGUUUCGGGUAUCGACCCCUGGAGUUGCGAAGCUAACGCGUUAAGUAUCCCACCUGUGUAGUACGAUCGCAAGAUUAAAACUUAAAGGAAUUGACGGGG